This 22-nucleotide small nuclear RNA is filed under the name Arabidopsis thaliana (thale cress). RNAcentral's name for it is "snRNA_09192". Lineage: Eukaryota; Viridiplantae; Streptophyta; Magnoliopsida; Brassicales; Brassicaceae. The record is from RNAcentral.
AGGAUCCGAACCAGUCCUGAUC